Chelonia mydas (Green sea turtle) is the source of this 1714-nucleotide long non-coding RNA. RefSeq lists it as uncharacterized. The record is from RefSeq and is a predicted model, not a curated record. The transcript is spliced from 7 exons. NCBI's taxonomy places the organism in Eukaryota, Metazoa, Chordata, Testudines, Cheloniidae.
GGCCGCGCCGGGCGGGGGAGGGCGCGCGGCGCGGCUCGUUGCUAUGGUUACUAAGCGACGCCUGGCCUCGCGCUGGGCCGGGGUGGGGAGCGCGGCAGCAAACGCCCCAGCGUCCGGGACGGUCCCCGCCCUCCCCCUCGGCCGGCGGCCGGAGUGGGAGCAGCCGGGGGUUGGGAGAGCUGGGAGCCGCUCGUGCGUCGCCAGGCCCCGCCAGUGUGUGCCCGGGGCCAGUCACGGGGCCGCGGGCCCAGCGCCCCAAGGCCUGUGAGCCCCUCCCCCGACAGGCCGGGAGGCGCUUCGAGCGCUGCUGGUGAAAGGGGGGUUCAGCAGGAAGGCCAGCGACCGAAUGGGCUACGGAGACUGAAUUCCCCUUGAGGAGAGGAGGAGAAAUAAAGAGGAACCUGGCUGCUUCUCCCUCACAGCUGCUUCCAGGUUCAUGAACCCUGAACCCUACGGAGAUCCUCCAAGGUCUGCAGGUUAAGGAAGCGAAGUGCAAAAUGGAAGGCCUUCCCCUCUUCUAGAAUCAAAUCUACGUGUUUCUGCCAGGAAGUUCUCGAAAUUCCUUGCUUUCUCACUUCAUAUCUUUCAGACAGAUGGAGAAGUGAGGCCCAAUCAACAUAUUUAUCAAGCAGAGACAUCCGGUUGCUGAACACGCAUGCCCUUCCACCUCAGAUGGACUGAGGAAUCCACCCAGGACUCUUGGGGAGUGUGUGCUCCCCAUUGUAUGAAAAGGAACAAGCUCAGGGACUAAAUGCUACAGGACAUUGUGGCCAAGGUAGAUCAGCUGCAGUACCAGAGAAGGAUGGAGGAGUAGAAGGCUCAGAGGGGGACAGCCCUACUGAAGGAGAGAAUGGUGGCAUGGUUCCUUGACCAUGACUGGAGAUUGAAGGAGGAGGACAGAAGACACACCUGUUCAAGAGGCUGCUCAGAUUCAUGCCAUCAGGCUGCAGGACCCAAUCAAUUUCACUCAUAAUUUUCUUCAUCUUUGGGAAAUUAGCCCUUUUGGAGCACCAAAUAUAUGCAUCAGCGGUUGGGACUAUCCUCUGCCCACACUGAAUGUAAUCAGGUCACGUUCACUGGUUCCUAGGCAACCACCAACUUCCAGUCCAGUGAUCAAUUCAAUUAUGUCACUGUAGUCCAGGCUUCGUGUCAAGAUACUCUCUGGACAUUAAGGCAAGGGCUUUCAUUGUGGACUGCCCCAUCGUUGAGCGGUCAUAGCUCUUAAUUCUGCUCAUUCUGGAGAACGACAGUUAUGCUUCAGUAUUUGUAAACAGUAAUGGGAGGUAAAUGCAAAGAGCGAUGUCUAGGUCUGGAAAAGCUGAUUCCAGGUGAAGAGCCUUCUGCUGUUUUAAAAGGCAAUUUACAAUUUUCAUUUGUUGUGAAAGAACAAAACUGUUCAAACUCAAGUUGCUUCAAGAUCUCAAGGAUAUUUUGCAACCCAAGUGCAGAAUGAAUCUCAGAGUGGGGUGCCAUGUUGAAAUUGGUUAGGAAGCCCAAAUCAUUUAUAUAAACAAAUAUAAGCUUCCAGGUAAUUUUGCAGGGACAUUUGCAAAUGAUCAACUAUGAAAUUAAAAGUUUCUACUCUAAAUGUUUCUGCCCAUCGCAGCUCCACAUUUGGUGUAUUGGAUUCACAUGCCUGCUGUUUAUGUUUUGGGACUUGAUGAGUUUCACUGUAGUAGGUUUCAGAGUAACAGCCGUGUUAGUCUGUAUUUGC